This is a non-coding RNA of Acanthosepion pharaonis, 108 nucleotides long. Lineage: Eukaryota; Metazoa; Mollusca; Cephalopoda; Sepiida; Sepiidae. The record is from the annotation of a GenBank genome assembly.
CCAUAUCACACUGAAACACCGGUUCUGGUCCGUUCACCGAAGUUAAGCAGCGUUGAGCUUGUUCAGUGCAUAGAUGGGUGCCCGCUCGCGAAAACCAGGUUCUGCAAG